GACCUAAGUCCUAGAUUAUCCCAGGAUAUGGUCUAAAAACUCUCCCGAGUAUUGAGCUCCUCGUCAGAGCACUCGGGAGAGUCAUAUCCCGAAAGGGAUAUGGGUGGCGAAAGCCAUC
RNAcentral lists this small RNA (118 nucleotides) under unclassified sequences. RNAcentral's name for it is "LOOT RNA". It matches the Rfam family "LOOT RNA". From Rfam's summary of the family: Latescibacteria, OD1/Parcubacteria, OP11, TM7. The record is from Rfam by way of RNAcentral.